GCCGAGCAGCAAGCGCCUGCUUGUGACCCGAGCGGGGGCAAACAAGGUGGUGUGGAUGCCAAUUGCGUCGCGUGGGGCCUGGGCCUGUUGCUGCACUCUGCCGGCCCGCCCGUCCCAAGUUGCGUAGUGGGCCGUGGGCGCUUUGGCGAAGGCCUCGGCGUCCCGGUUCCUAGAGUGGCGGGCAUUGCGUUAGGCUGGCCUCACAGAGCAGCGAAUACCGCCCGCUUCCAACGGUGGGAGGAUAACGGGCCGCUGCGCUCUAGGCUCGCUUAAGGCCCAUGCGUCCUCUCUGGCAGACCACCAUUUUU
RNAcentral lists this signal recognition particle RNA (308 nucleotides) under Sorghum bicolor (sorghum). Its description in RNAcentral is "Plant signal recognition particle RNA". It matches the Rfam family "Plant signal recognition particle RNA". The record is from Rfam by way of RNAcentral. Lineage: Eukaryota; Viridiplantae; Streptophyta; Magnoliopsida; Poales; Poaceae.